CCUACGGGAGGCAGCAGUGAGGAAUAUUGGUCAAUGGGCGCGAGCCUGAACCAGCCAAGUCGCGUGAGGGAGGACGGCCCUACGGGUUGUAAACCUCUUUUGCCGGGGAGCAACGGGCGCCACGUGUGGCGCCACUGAGAGUACCCGGAGAAAAAGCAUCGGCUAACUCCGUGCCAGCAGCCGCGGUAAUACGGAGGAUGCGAGCGUUAUACGGAUUUAUUGGGUUUAAGGGGUGCGUAGGCGGAUCGUUAAGUCAGUGGUCAAAUUGAGGGGCUCAACCCCUUCCCGCCAUUGAAACUGGCGAUCUUGAGUGGAAGAGAAGUAUGCGGAAUGCGUGGUGUAGCGGUGAAAUGCAUAGAUAUCACGCAGAACCCCGAUUGCGAAGGCAGCAUGCCGGCUUCCGAUUGACGCUGAAGCACGAAAGCGUGGGGAUCGAACAGGAUUAGAUACCCGGGUAGUC
This 460-nucleotide ribosomal RNA is filed under the name uncultured bacterium. RNAcentral describes it as "partial 16S ribosomal RNA". It matches the Rfam family "Bacterial small subunit ribosomal RNA", at positions 338 to 795 of the family's 1533-position model. The record is from RNAcentral.